Strigops habroptila (Kakapo) is the source of this 1913-nucleotide long non-coding RNA. The record is from Ensembl. Lineage: Eukaryota; Metazoa; Chordata; Aves; Psittaciformes; Psittacidae.
UUGGCGGUAGCUUUUCCUGCUUUUAUUCUCCAUGGUGACAUCUCAAAAACAACAACUUUGAAACUGCAAGCAUGGCAAAUGUAUAAUGCUUGGUAAUUGGGUUUGAGGAUGUGUCCCAGAAAGGUAUAAAAGUGUUGGAUUUUCAUUAUACAGGGUAUUGUUAUGUCCUCCCCCCUCCCCUUGAAAAUAAUUCAUUACAGGAGAGAAGGACAAUCUAAGCAAAAUAACAACAGCCAAGUACAGAAAAAGAAAACCACUCACUCACUGCAUAAUGGGUGGGAAACGGCUGUUGCAGGCAAGCAACAGCAGCAGGAAAAAGAACCCCAGAGCUCAUUGAUGAACAGCAAGAGGACUGUACCCUGGGCCAGGGCUUUCAAACAGGGUCUGUGAAAAGGCAGCAGCAGUGGGCACCAAGCUCCCAGCUCGAGUCUCCGGGCUGCGUGGCUUGUACAAACAGAACUAAAGGUGACCCUGUUGGGAUGCACCAUCAGGACAGCAUUGGUGCUCUGCAGACAGCCUGGGACAGGGGUGCAUGAUAGGCUCCUUUCGCCUCCAAGUUCAUUUUGGUGUUGUUCUCAAAAGCAGUAGAGGCUUUGCAGAAAACAAGAUGUAUUUUUCUACGUGAGGUGAGCAGGUGUGGUAGAGAGUCACCACCAGGCAUUAGAGAUUAAAACCUUGCCGUUUCAUUGAACUGAACGUUGCUUCUCAAAUGAGCUCAUCAACUUUUGGUUCCUACUUUCAAACUCAAAUGUAACUAAGCAUCCUGGCAUUCCAUGUGCUUUCUAUGACUCAUGAAAUGCUGCUUCUCUCUGCUGCUGCUCUCACCAAGGACAAUGAAAACUGAAUGCCUUUGCUCCUGUUGUUUGCACUUCAGAGCUAUGACUGCAGCUGCCCUGGGCUCGAAAACAAUACUUAAUCAUUUUGAAAUUAUGUUCAGCUUUAAUUUUGAAAACAUUUCCAGUAACACCCCUGUUGGGCUUCAGAGAAUAUCCGGAGGGCCCUCAGGGUUGUUUUGUGUAUUCUCUAAUUUCUGCUUUUAUAGGGGGUAAAAAUGUCUUUUUACAAACCACCACUCACUCCACAUCUGAAUUGCCCAGAACCCCUGGGUGCAGCGCUGAAGGUUAACUGGCAACAGCCAAGGAGAGCAGGGGGAUGGAGAGGGAUUACAAGCAUGACAAAAAAUGACAGGCAGAAAGGGAGGAGAAAGUCUUUCCUGGCAAAGGCCCCUACGCAGGCAGGGGUGGAUGUCAAAAAGCAACUACAAAGGUCACAAGAGAAUUCACAUGGGAAUCAUGGCAGAUGCAUUCUUUUAGUAUUAGCUAACUUUAUUCUUAAGAUUUUUAUGUUUCUAAUGCUGGUAAUCCGGCUGGCACUUUUAAGAUCAUAUCAAAAUGAUAGCUUUGUCACAUUAUGUAAUGGAUCUCUCUUCUGCAGGCAAUGGGAAAGGGACUUUAGGAGCCCCAAGUGACGAUGAAGGUGGUUUCAACGUCACAGCUGCUGUAGAAAGCAGGUAUGGCCAGUACAGCGCAAUGGAGAUGCUGUAUUACAGAGCUUUCCCGAGUGUCACGGGGUCACAUCUGCAGCACCCAGCUUAUGCCAAAGGUCCCUCUGCUCCUGGACCCAUUCAAGAAGUGAGCUAAAGCGCCUUUAGCUUCUCCAUGUGUCCCAAACCCUGUACCUAGCGACACAGAACAAAUCCUCACCCACAUCUUUGUGUGAAAGCUCCCUGAAGAAAAAGGAACAUAGCACCAAGCGGUUUCUCAGCAAAACAAUCUCCAUGACAUUAAAGCUAUUUUCAGAAUAGCCCGAGCAUAAUAAACGCUGUGGUGUUGUGUUUAUCUACCUGUAACAGUCUGUGACAAGGUUUGGCUUCCAAAGUGUUAUUUGAUGGCUCCAUCUCAGGGAUCUGUAUU